GGGAGGUUCCCGGGGCGGUUCCCGGGGCGGUGCCGGUGCCGCCAUGGCCGCGGUGCCGCUGCGGGGCCGGCGUGCGGCGCUCGGGCCGGGAGCAGCCGGGGAGCCGGAAUGCAAGCGGCUGUGCAGGCUGCUGGACACCAUCCCAGGCCAGGCUGCUGCCCAGCUCAGGGACUGUGCCAUGGACCUGGAUCCCAGGCACAAACUCCUCCCCGACUCUGCUCCCUGGGCUGCAAAGGCAAAGCAGAAUUCUGUGGUUUUGGAAAACCAUGGCAGCAAAGGCAUUUCCCAGCCCUGCCCAAGAUGUGUUGCUGGAGAAUCUGUCCACUUGGCAUCUUGCCUGCCAAAAGGAGAUGGAAAAUCAAAAUAUUGGGAUAAGUGGGGUUUAAAGGUAGCCUGGAUUUGACAAAGCCAAGACUUGAAAUAAAUACAGUUAAUAUAUUUAAAUAUAUAUAGAG
RNAcentral lists this long non-coding RNA (455 nucleotides) under Junco hyemalis (dark-eyed junco). Its description in RNAcentral is "lncRNA (ENSJHYG00000012206.1)". The record is from RNAcentral. Lineage: Eukaryota; Metazoa; Chordata; Aves; Passeriformes; Passerellidae.